ACGAACGCUGGCGGCAGGCUUAACACAUGCAAGUCGAGCGAGGCCUUCGGGUCUAGCGGCGGACGGGUGAGUAACGCGUGGGAACGUGCCCUCUUCUUCGGAAUAGCCCUGGGAAACUGGGAGUAAUGCCGAAUACGCCCGAAAGGGGAAAGAUUUAUCGGAGGAGGAUCGGCCCGCGUUGGAUUAGGUAGUUGGUGGGGUAAUGGCCUACCAAGCCGACGAUCCAUAGCUGGUUUGAGAGGAUGACCAGCCACACUGGGACUGAGACACGGCCCAGACUCCUACGGGAGGCAGCAGUGGGGAAUCUUGGACAAUGGGGGCAACCCUGAUCCAGCCAUGCCGCGUGAUCGAUGAAGGCCUUAGGGUUGUAAAGAUCUUUCAGCGGGGAAGAUAAUGACGGUACCCGCAGAAGAAGCCCCGGCUAACUCCGU
Molecule: ribosomal RNA, 431 nt
Filed under: uncultured bacterium
Lineage: Bacteria
Description: bacterial SSU rRNA
Rfam family: Bacterial small subunit ribosomal RNA
Source: RNAcentral